AACGUACGCUGGCGGCACGCUUAACACAUGCAAGUCGAACGAAGUAGCAAUACUUAGUGGCAGACGGGUGAGUAACAUGUGGGUAUCUGCCCUUUGGCCUGGAAUAACACGAGGAAACUUGUGCUAAUACUGGAUAAGUCUUUACGGAGAAAGCUUUAUGCACCAUUGGAUGAGCCCGCACUUGAUUAGUUUGUUGGUGGGGUAAUGGCCUACCAAGACUUUGAUCAAUAGCUGAUUUGAGAGGAUGAUCAGCCACAUUGGGACUGAGACACGGCCCAAACUCCUACGGGAGGCAGCAGUGGGGAAUCUUGCACAAUGGAGGAAACUCUGAUGCAGCGAUGCCGCGUGAGUGAAGAAGGCCCUUGGGUUGUAAAGCUCUUUCGUCGGGGAAGAAAAUGACUGUACCCUAAUAAGAAGGUCCGGCUAACUUCGUGCCAGCAGCCGCGGUAAUACGAAGGGACCUAGCGUAGUUCGGAAUUACUGGGCUUAAAGAGUUCGUAGGUGGUUGAAAAAGUUAGUGGUGAAAUCCCAGAGCUUAACUCUGGAACUGCCAUUAAAACUUUUCAGCUAGAGUAUGAUAGAGGAAAGCAGAAUUUCUAGUGUAGAGGUGAAAUUCGUAGAUAUUAGAAAGAAUACCAAUUGCGAAGGCAGCUUUCUGGAUCAUUACUGACACUGAGGAACGAAAGCAUGGGUAGCGAAGAGGAUUAGAUACCCUCGUAGUCCAUGCCGUAAACGAUGUGUGUUAGACGUUGGAAAUUUAUUUUCAGUGUCGCAGCGAAAGCGAUAAACACACCGCCUGGGGAGUACGACCGCGAGGUUAAAACUCAAAUGAAUUGACGGGGACCCGCACAAGUAGUGGAGCAUGUGGUUUAAUUCGAAGAUACGCGCAGAACCUUACCAACACUUGCCAUGUUCGUCGCGACUCUAAGAGAUUAGAGUUUUCGGUUCGGCCGGACGAAACACAGGUGCUGCAUGGCUGUCGUCAGCUCGUGUCGUGAGAUGUUGGGUUAAGUCCCGCAACGAGCGCAACCCUCACUUUUAGUUGCCAUCAUUAAGUUGGGCACUCUGAAAGAACUGCCAGUGAUAAGCUGGAGGAAGGUGGGGAUGACGUCAAGUCCUCAUGGCCCUUACGUGUUGGGCUACACACGUGCUACAAUGGUAUCUACAACAGGAAGCAAGACUGCGAGGUCAAGCAAAUCCUUAAAAGAUACCUCAGUUCGGAUUGCACUCUGCAACUCGAGUGCAUGAAGCUGGAAUUACUAGUAAUCGUGGAUCAGCGUGCCACGGUGAAUGCGUUCCCGGGUCUU
RNAcentral lists this ribosomal RNA (1307 nucleotides) under uncultured bacterium. Its description in RNAcentral is "bacterial SSU rRNA". It matches the Rfam family "Bacterial small subunit ribosomal RNA", at positions 28 to 1382 of the family's 1533-position model. The record is from RNAcentral.